Molecule: ribosomal RNA, 477 nt
Filed under: uncultured bacterium
Lineage: Bacteria
Description: partial 16S ribosomal RNA
Rfam family: Bacterial small subunit ribosomal RNA
Source: RNAcentral
GAUGAACGCUGGCGGCGUGCCUAAUACAUGCAAGUCGAGCGAACAGACGAGGAGCUUGCUCCUCUGACGUUAGCGGCGGACGGGUGAGUAACACGUGGAUAACCUACCUAUAAGACUGGGAUAACUUCGGGAAACCGGAGCUAAUACCGGAUAAUAUAUUGAACCGCAUGGUUCAAUAGUGAAAGACGGUUUUGCUGUCACUUAUAGAUGGGUCCGCGCCGCAUUAGCUAGUUGGUAAGGUAACGGCUUACCAAGGCAACGAUGCGUAGCCGACCUGAGAGUGGGACAGGAGACACUGGGACUGAGAGACGGACAAGACUGCUAAGGGAGGGAGGAGUGGCGAUUAUUGAGAAAUGGGAGGAAGGCUGAAGCAGAGAUGUCGGGUGGGGGAUGACGGCUUUCGGGUUGUAAACCUAUUUCGACGGGGACGAAGCGUACGUGACGGUACCGGGAGAAGAAGCAACGGCCAACUACGUG